RNAcentral lists this long non-coding RNA (396 nucleotides) under Phaseolus vulgaris (common bean). RNAcentral describes it as "long non-coding RNA (PVUL_LNC005306)". Lineage: Eukaryota; Viridiplantae; Streptophyta; Magnoliopsida; Fabales; Fabaceae. The record is from RNAcentral.
AUGCUUUUGUUUCUACCUUAUUUCUUCCACAGCUCUUCCAAAGUUGGUUUGUAGCAGUGUACCAUGAUAUUAUACAGAGGAAGGGCUUGAAAUUGGGUUCUGAUGAGGAGUUCCUAUACAGUUCCCGUGCAAACUCCAACAUCUGAGAGGCAAAUUGAAACAGUUGAGUUUUGAAAUGCAAAUACUUUAAACAUUAAUUCUUAGAACAUUGUAGAUUGGAAAGUGCAUUCCUGAACCAAACUGUUUUGUUGAAGCUCUUGGUGGGUCUAUUUGAUUCUAAACUUGUCUUUGAAGGAAUAAAAUAGAACCCACUUUUCUUAUUUGCAUGCUACUGUUUCAAUUAAUUAUGCCACUUUCAAAUCAGGAAAACUAACAAUCAUUCUAUACUUAUAUAAA